This 438-nucleotide ribosomal RNA is filed under the name uncultured Roseovarius sp. RNAcentral describes it as "bacterial SSU rRNA". It matches the Rfam family "Bacterial small subunit ribosomal RNA", at positions 97 to 570 of the family's 1533-position model. The record is from RNAcentral. Lineage: Bacteria; Pseudomonadati; Pseudomonadota; Alphaproteobacteria; Rhodobacterales; Roseobacteraceae.
GGCGGACGGGUUAGUAACGCGUGGGAACGUACCCAGAUCUAAGGAAUAGCCACUGGAAACGGUGAGUAAUACCUUAUACGCCCUUCGGGGGAAAGAUUUAUCGGAUUUGGAUCGGCCCGCGUUAGAUUAGGUAGUUGGUGGGGUAAUGGCCUACCAAGCCUACGAUCUAUAGCUGGUUUUAGAGGAUGAUCAGCAACACUGGGACUGAGACACGGCCCAGGCUCCUACGGGAGGCAGCAGUGGGGAAUCUUAGACAAUGGGCGCAAGCCUGAUCUAGCCAUGCCGCGUGAGUGAUGAAGGCCUUAGGGUCGUAAAGCUCUUUCGCCUGUGAUGAUAAUGACAGUAGCAGGUAAAGAAACCCCGGCUAACUCCGUGCCAGCAGCCGCGGUAAUACGGAGGGGGUUAGCGUUGUUCGGAAUUACUGGGCGUAAAGCGCAC